UACGUAGGGUGCGAGCGUUAAUCGGAAUUACUGGGCGUAAAGCGUGCGCAGGCGGUUUUGUAAGACAGAGGUGAAAUCCCCGGGCUUAACCUGGGAACUGCCUUUGUGACUGCAAGGCUUGAGUGCGGCAGAGGGGGAUGGAAUUCCGCGUGUAGCAGUGAAAUGCGUAGAUAUGCGGAGGAACACCGAUGGCGAAGGCAAUCCCCUGGGCCUGCACUGACGCUCAUGCACGAAAGCGUGGGGAGCGAACAGG
Molecule: ribosomal RNA, 253 nt
Filed under: uncultured bacterium
Lineage: Bacteria
Description: partial 16S ribosomal RNA
Rfam family: Bacterial small subunit ribosomal RNA
Source: RNAcentral